This is an RNA transcript of Rhinopithecus roxellana (golden snub-nosed monkey), 1327 nucleotides long. It is a transcript of the gene named malate dehydrogenase, mitochondrial pseudogene, with no coding region annotated. NCBI's taxonomy places the organism in Eukaryota, Metazoa, Chordata, Mammalia, Primates, Cercopithecidae. The transcript has a single exon. The record is from RefSeq and is a predicted model, not a curated record.
CGGUCACUCUCGCGAGGCCCCACGGAGCGGAGCCGGGAGUGCUGUGGUGUGUGGAGGUCGUUGGAGUCACUUGCCUGUCAGCAGCUCCUGUGUCUGCCCGUCGGCGCCCCUCCCGCUCCAGCCAUGCUUUCCGCCCUCGCCCGGCCUGCCAGCGCUGCUUUCCGCCGCAGCUUCAGCACCUCGGCCCAGAACAAUGCUAAAGUAGCCGUGCUAGGGGCCUCUGGAGGCAUCGGGCAGCCGCUUUCACUUCUCCUAAAGAACAGCCCCUUGGUGAGCCGCCUGACCCUCUAUGAUAUCGCGCACACACCCGGAGUGGCCGCAGAUCUGAGCCACAUGGAGACCAAAGCCGUUGUGAAAGGCUACCUCGGACCUGAACAGCUGCCUGACUGCCUAAAAGGUUGUGAUGUGGUAGUUAUUCCGGCCGGAGUCCCCAGAAAACCAGGCAUGACCCGGGACGACCUGUUUAACACCAAUGCCACGAUUGUGGCCACGCUGGCCGCUGCCUGUGCCCAGCACUGCCCAGAAGCCAUGAUCUGCAUCAUUGCCAAUCCAGUUAACUCCACCAUCGCCAUCACAGCAGAAGUUUUCAAGAAGCACGGAGUGUACAACCCCAGCAAGAUCUUCGGCGUGACGACCCUGGACAUCGUCAGAGCCAACACCUUUGUUGCAGAGCUGAAGGGUUUGGAUCCAGCUCGAGUCAACGUCCCUGUCAUUGGUGGCCAUGCCGGGAAGACCAUCAUCCCCCUGAUCUCUCAGUGCACCCCCAAGGUGGACUUUCCCCAGGACCAGCUGACGGCGCUCACUGGGCGGAUCCAGGAGGCCGGCACGGAGGUGGUCAAGGCUAAAGCCAGAGCAGGCUCCGCCACCCUCUCCAUGGCGUAUGCCGGCGCCCGCUUCGUCUUCUCCCUUGUGGAUGCAAUGAAUGGAAAGGAAGGUGUUGUGGAAUGUUCCUUCGUUAAGUCACAGGAAACAGAAUGUACCUACUUCUCCACGCCACUGCUGCUUGGGAAAAAGGGCAUCGAGAAGAACCUGGGCAUUGGCCAAGUCUCCUCUUUUGAGGAGAAGAUGAUCUCGGAUGCCAUUCCUGAGCUGAAGGCCUCCAUCAAGAAGGGGGAAGAUUUCGUGAAGACCCUGAAGUGAGCCCCCGUGACGGGCGGCCAGUUUCCUUAAUCUAUAAAGGCAUCAUGUCACUGCAAAGGUGUUGCAGAUAACCUUUGUAUUUUAAUUUGCUUUGGUGAUGAUUACUGUAUUAACAUCAUCAUGCCUUCCAAAUUGUGGGUGACUCGAUGGGCACAUCAAUAAAAGCCAUCCUUGAUUAAAAAAAAAA